AACGUAGGAACCGAGCGUUAUCCGAAUUUACUGGGCGUAAAGCGCGUGUAGGUGGCUCGAUAAGUUGGGUGUGAAAGCUCCUGGCUCAACUAGGAGAGGCCGCUCAAAACUGUCGGGCUUGAGAACGGUAGAGGGAGGUGGAAUUCCCGGUGUAGUGGUGAAAUGCGUAGAUAUCGGGAGGAACACCAGUGGCGAAGGCGGCCUCCUGGACCGUUUCUGACACUGAGACGCGAAAGCUAGGGGAGCGAACGGG
Molecule: ribosomal RNA, 253 nt
Filed under: uncultured bacterium
Lineage: Bacteria
Description: partial 16S ribosomal RNA
Rfam family: Bacterial small subunit ribosomal RNA
Source: RNAcentral